GGGAUAAACUGUGGUAAUUCUAGAGCUAAUACAUGCCACGAAGCGCCGACCUUACGGAAGGCGUGCUUUUAUUAGGAUCAAGACCAACACGGGCUUGCCCGGCUUCGUUGGUGAACUCUGGAUAACUUCGCAGAUCGCAUUGUCAUCGAACAGGCGACAUUUCUUUCAAACGUCUGACCUAUCAAUUUUCGAUGGUACGAUAUGCGCCUACCAUGGUGCUAACGGGUGACGGGGAAUCAGGGUUCGAUUCCGGAGAGGGAGCCUGAGAAAUGGCUACCACAUCCAAGGAAGGCAGCAGGCGCGCAAAUUACCCACUCUCGACACGAGGAGGUAGUGACGAAAAAUAACAAUACAGGACCUUUACAAGGCCCUGUAAUUGGAAUGAGUACACUUUAAAUCCUUUAACGAGGAUCUACUGGAGGGCAAGUCUGGUGCCAGCAGCCGCGGUAAUUCCAGCUCCAGUGGCGUAUAUUAAUACUGCUGCAGUUAAAAAGCUCGUAGUUGGAUCUAGGGCGUAGGCUGAGGGUCCCUCGCAAGGGGUGCACCUCUCUGACCUGGCCUCCCUCGCGGUUUGCGCUCGGUUCUCUUAAUUGAGUGCCGGGUGCUACCGGAACGUUUACUUUGAAAAAAUUGGAGUGUUCAAAGCAGGCGUAACAGCCUGAACAGCAGAGCAUGGAAUAAUGGAAUAGGACCUCGGUUCUAUUGCGUUGGUUUUAAGAGUUACGAGGUAAUGAUUAAGAGGGACUGACGGGGGCAUUCGUAUUGCGGUGUGAGAGGUGAAAUUCUAGGAUCGCCGCAAGACGACCGACAGCGAAAGCAUUUGCCAAGAAUGUCUUCAUUAAUCAAGAACGAAAGUUAGAGGUUCGAAGGCGAUCAGAUACCGCCCUAGUUCUAACCAUAAACUAUGCCGACCGGCGAUUCGCCGGCGUUACUCCAAUGACACGGCAAGCA
Molecule: ribosomal RNA, 951 nt
Filed under: Squamophis lifouensis
Lineage: Eukaryota; Metazoa; Echinodermata; Ophiuroidea; Euryalida; Asteroschematidae
Description: SSU rRNA
Rfam family: Eukaryotic small subunit ribosomal RNA
Source: RNAcentral